This 301-nucleotide ribosomal RNA is filed under the name uncultured bacterium. Its description in RNAcentral is "partial 16S ribosomal RNA". It matches the Rfam family "Bacterial small subunit ribosomal RNA", at positions 509 to 808 of the family's 1533-position model. The record is from RNAcentral.
CAGUCGCCGCGGUAAUACGUAGGGGGCAAGCGUUGUCCGGAAUUAUUGGGCGUAAAGCGCGCGCAGGCGGUCAUGUAAGUCUGGUGUUUAAUCCCGGGGCUCAACCCCGGAUCGCACUGGAAACUGGGUGACUUGAGUGCAGAAGAGGAGAGUGGAAUUCCACGUGUAGCGGUGAAAUGCGUAGAGAUGUGGAGGAACACCAGUGGCGAAGGCGACUCUCUGGGCUGUAACUGACGCUGAGGCGCGAAAGCGUGGGGAGCAAACAGGAUUAGAUACCCCCGUAGUCCCUGUCUCUUAUACA